GGAGGAAUGGCCGAGUGGUUGAAGGCGGCGGUCUUGAAAACCGCUAGGGCCGAAAGGCCCUCGGGGGUUCGAAUCCCUCUUCCUCCGCCA
RNAcentral lists this transfer RNA (90 nucleotides) under Candidatus Solibacter sp. Its description in RNAcentral is "tRNA-Ser". It matches the Rfam family "tRNA". Rfam says of the family: Transfer RNA (tRNA) molecules are approximately 80 nucleotides in length. The record is from RNAcentral. Lineage: Bacteria; Pseudomonadati; Acidobacteriota; Terriglobia; Bryobacterales; Solibacteraceae.